UGGGCAACCUGCCCUCAGCUCUGGGAUAACCCCGGGAAACCGGGGCUAAUACCGGAUACGACCUCCGCGGGCAUCUGCGGAGGUGGAAAGGUUUUCCGGCUGAGGAUGGGCCCGCGGCCUAUGAGCUAGUUGGUGUGGGUAACGGCCCACCAAGGCGACGACGGGUAGCCGGCCUGAGAGGGUGACCGGCCACACUGGAACUGAGACGCGGCCCAGACUCCUACGGGAGGCA
RNAcentral lists this ribosomal RNA (232 nucleotides) under uncultured bacterium. Its description in RNAcentral is "partial 16S ribosomal RNA". It matches the Rfam family "Bacterial small subunit ribosomal RNA", at positions 118 to 350 of the family's 1533-position model. The record is from RNAcentral.